GAUGAACGCUGGCGGCGUGCCUAAUACAUGCAAGUCGAGCGAACGGACGAGAAGCUUGCUUCUCUGAUGUUAGCGGCGGACGGGUGAGUAACACGUGGAUAACCUACCUAUAAGACUGGGAUAACUUCGGGAAACCGGAGCUAAUACCGGAUAAUACUUUGAACCGCAUGGUUCAAAAGUGAAAGACGGUCUUGCUGUCACUUAUAGAUGGAUCCGCGCUGCAUUAGCUAGUUGGUAAGGUAACGGCUUACCAAGGCAACGAUGCAUACCCGACCUAGGAGCGUGAUCGGGCACACUAGAACUGAAACACGGUCCAGACUCCUACGGGAGGCAGCAGUAGGGAAUCUUCCGCAAUGGGCGAAAGCCUGACGGAGCAACGCCGCGUGAGUGAUGAAGGUCUUCGGAUCGUAAAACUCUGUUAUUAGGGAAGAACAUAUGUGUAAGUAACUGUGCACAUCUUGACGGUACCUAAUCAGAAAGCCACGGCUAACUACGUG
RNAcentral lists this ribosomal RNA (497 nucleotides) under uncultured bacterium. RNAcentral describes it as "partial 16S ribosomal RNA". It matches the Rfam family "Bacterial small subunit ribosomal RNA", at positions 28 to 507 of the family's 1533-position model. The record is from RNAcentral.